GACGAACGCUGGCGGCGUGCUUAACACAUGCAAGUCGAACGGAAAGGCCCUGCUUUUGUGGGGUGCUCGAGUGGCGAACGGGUGAGUAACCCGUGAGUAACCUGCCCUUGACUUUGGGAUAACUUCAGGAAACUGGGGCUAAUACCGGAUAGGAGCUCCUGCUGCAUGGUGGGGGUUGGAAAGUUUCGGCGGUUGGGGAUGGACUCGCGGCUUAUCAGCUUGUUGGUGGGGUAGUGGCUUACCAAGGCUUUGACGGGUAGCCGGCCUGAGAGGGUGACCGGCCACAAUGGGACUGAGAGACGGCCCAGAGUGCUACGUGAGGCAGCAGUGGGGAAUAUUGCACAAUGGGCGGAAGCCUGAUGCAGCGACGCCGCGUGCGGGAUGACGGCCUUCGGGUUAUAAACCGCAUUCGCCUGUGACGAAGCGGGAGUGACGGUAAUGGGUAAAGAAGCACCGGCUAACUACGUG
This 468-nucleotide ribosomal RNA is filed under the name uncultured bacterium. Its description in RNAcentral is "partial 16S ribosomal RNA". It matches the Rfam family "Bacterial small subunit ribosomal RNA", at positions 28 to 507 of the family's 1533-position model. The record is from RNAcentral.